Molecule: ribosomal RNA, 433 nt
Filed under: uncultured bacterium
Lineage: Bacteria
Description: partial 16S ribosomal RNA
Rfam family: Bacterial small subunit ribosomal RNA
Source: RNAcentral
AACGAACGCUGGCGGCAUGCCUAACACAUGCAAGUCGAACGAGACCAUCGGGUCUAGUGGCGCACGGGUGCGUCACGCGUGGGAACCUGCCCUUAGGCUUGGAAUAACUCCCCGACAGGGGUGAUAAUGCAGGAAAAUGUCUUCGGAUAAAAGAUGUGUCGCGCUUGGAUGGGCCGGCGUUGGAUUAGCUAGUUGGUAGUGUAAAAGCCUACCACGGCUACGCUCGAUGGCUGGUCUGAGAGGAUGCUCAGCCACUCUGAGACGGAGACCCGGCCGAGACUCCUACAGGAGGCAGCAGAGGGUGAUAUAGGACAAUCGGCUAAAUCCUGAAGCACCAAUGCCGCGAGAGUGAUGAAGGUCGGAGAGAUGUAAAGCUCUUUUACCCGGGACUGUAAUGACAGUACCGAAAGAAUAAGCACCGGCUAACUCCGUG